RNAcentral lists this ribosomal RNA (497 nucleotides) under uncultured bacterium. Its description in RNAcentral is "partial 16S ribosomal RNA". It matches the Rfam family "Bacterial small subunit ribosomal RNA", at positions 28 to 507 of the family's 1533-position model. The record is from RNAcentral.
GAUGAACGCUGGCGGCGUGCUUAACACAUGCAAGUCGAGCGGAAGGACGAGAAGCUUGUGUCUCUGAUGUUAGCGGCGGACGGGUGAGUAACACGUGGAUAACCUACCUGUCUGUGUGGGAUAACUUCGGGAAACCGGAGCUAACACCGGAUAAUAUUUUGCACCGCAUGGUUCAAAAGUGAAAGACGGUCUUGCUGUCACUUAUAGAUGGAUCCGCGCUGCAUUAGCUGGUUGGUAAGGUAACGGCCUACCAAGGCAAGCAUGCAUAGACGACGUGAGCGGCGGGUCGGCCGCCCUAGAACUGAGACGCGGUCCUGUCUCCUACGGUACGGACCAGAGGGGUAUGUGACGCAGUGGGCGGGAGCCUGGCGGAACAGCGCCACGUGAGGUACAGAAGUCCUGCGAUCGGGAUACUCUGUUACUAGUGGAAAACAGAUGUGUAAGGAACUGUGCAGAUAUUGACGGUACCGAAUCAGAAAGCCCCGGCUAACUACGUG